UGGACCCGUAAUCCGGGUUGCGGACAGUGUCUGGUGGGUAGUUUGACUGGGGCGGUCUCCUCCUAAAGAGUAACGGAGGAGCACGAAGGUUGGCUAAUCCUGGUCGGACAUCAGGAGGUUAGUGCAAUGGCAUAAGCCAGCUUGACUGCGAGCGUGACGGCGCGAGCAGGUGCGAAAGCAGGUCAUAGUGAUCCGGUGGUUCUGAAUGGAAGGGCCAUCGCUCAACGGAUAAAAGGUACUCCGGGGAUAACAGGCUGAUACCGCCCAAGAGUUCAUAUCGACGGCGGUGUUUGGCACCUCGAUGUCGGCUCAUCACAUCCUGGGGCUGAAGUAGGUCCCAAGGGUAUGGCUGUUCGCCAUUUAAAGUGGUACGCGAGCUGGGUUUAGAACGUCGUGAGACAGUUCGGUCCCUAUCUGCCGUGGGCGCUGGAGAACUGAGGGGGGCUGCUCCUAGUACGAGAGGACCGGAGUGGACGCAUCACUGGUGUUCGGGUUGUCAUGCCAAUGGCACUGCCCGGUAGCUAAAUGCGGAAGAGAUAAGUGCUGAAAGCAUCUAAGCACGAAACUUGCCCCGAGAUGAGUUCUCCCUGAGACUUAGAGUCUCCUGAAGGAACGUUGAAGACGAUGACGUUGAUAGGCCGGGUGUGUAAGCGCAGCGAUGCGUUGAGCUAACCGGUACUAAUGAACCGUGAGGCUUAACCUUACAACGCCGAAG
RNAcentral lists this ribosomal RNA (715 nucleotides) under Salmonella enterica subsp. enterica. RNAcentral's name for it is "partial 23S ribosomal RNA". It matches the Rfam family "Bacterial large subunit ribosomal RNA", at positions 2228 to 2925 of the family's 2925-position model. The record is from RNAcentral. Lineage: Bacteria; Pseudomonadati; Pseudomonadota; Gammaproteobacteria; Enterobacterales; Enterobacteriaceae.